GUGAGGAAUUGUUCGCAAUGGGCGCAAGCCUGACGACGCAACGCCGCGUGGAGGACGAAGAUCUUCGGGUCGUAAACUCCUGUCGAGCGGGACGAACCUCACCCGGGUCAAUACCCCGGGUGCCUGACGGUACCGCUAAAGGAAGCCCCGGCUAACUCCGUGCCAGCAGCCGCGGUAAUACGGGGGGGGCAAGCGUUGUUCGGAAUUACUGGGCGUAAAGAGCUCGUAGGCGGCCAACUAAGUCGGACGUGAAAUCCCUCGGCUUAACCGAGGAACUGCGUCCGAGACUGGCUGGCUUGAAGCCGGGAGAGGGAUGCGGAAUUCCAGGUGUAGCGGUGAAAUGCGUAGAUAUCUGGAGGAACACCGGUGGCGAAGGCGGCAUCCUGGACCGGUCUUGACGCUGAGGAGCGAAAGCCAGGGGAGCAAACGGG
This 431-nucleotide ribosomal RNA is filed under the name uncultured bacterium. RNAcentral describes it as "bacterial SSU rRNA". It matches the Rfam family "Bacterial small subunit ribosomal RNA", at positions 354 to 776 of the family's 1533-position model. The record is from RNAcentral.